This 461-nucleotide ribosomal RNA is filed under the name activated sludge bacterium OC4. RNAcentral's name for it is "bacterial SSU rRNA". It matches the Rfam family "Bacterial small subunit ribosomal RNA", at positions 56 to 509 of the family's 1533-position model. The record is from RNAcentral.
UGCAGUCGAGCGGUAGCACAGAGAGCUUGCUCUCGGGUGACGAGCGGCGGACGGGUGAGUAAUGUCUGGGAAACUGCCUGAUGGAGGGGGAUAACUACUGGAAACGGUAGCUAAUACCGCAUAACGUCGCAAGACCAAAGUGGGGGACCUUCGGGCCUCAUGCCAUCAGAUGUGCCCAGAUGGGAUUAGCUAGUAGGUGGGGUAACGGCUCACCUAGGCGACGAUCCCUAGCUGGUCUGAGAGGAUGACCAGCCACACUGGAACUGAGACACGGUCCAGACUCCUACGGGAGGCAGCAGUGGGGAAUAUUGCACAAUGGGCGCAAGCCUGAUGCAGCCAUGCCGCGUGUAUGAAGAAGGCCUUCGGGUUGUAAAGUACUUUCAGCGGGGAGGAAGGCGAUAAGGUUAAUAACCUUGUCGAUUGACGUUACCCGCAGAAGAAGCACCGGCUAACUCCGUGCC